RNAcentral lists this ribosomal RNA (746 nucleotides) under uncultured bacterium. Its description in RNAcentral is "bacterial SSU rRNA". It matches the Rfam family "Bacterial small subunit ribosomal RNA", at positions 89 to 868 of the family's 1533-position model. The record is from RNAcentral.
AGUAAAGUGGCGUACGGGUGAGUAACACGUGGAUCAUCUGCCUUUUAGUGGGGAAUAACCCUGGGAAACCGGGGCUAAUACCGCAUAAGCCUGUGAAGGGAAAGCAGCAAUGCGCUGAAAGAGGAGUCCGCGGCUGAUUAGCUAGUUGGUGAGGUAAUGGCUCACCAAGGCGAAGAUCGGUAGCCGGCCUGAGAGGGCACACGGCCACACUGGCACUGAAACACGGGCCAGACUCCUACGGGAGGCAGCAGUGGGGAAUCUUGCACAAUGGAGGAAACUCUGAUGCAGCGACGCCGCGUGAGCGAUGAAGCCCUUCGGGGUGUAAAGCUCUUUCGACGGGAACGAUUAUGACGGUACCCGAAGAAGAAGCUGCGGCUAACUACGUGCCAGCAGCCGCGGUAAUACGUAGGCAGCGAGCGUUGUUCGGAAUUACUGGGCGUAAAGAGUACGUAGGCGGUGCUCUAAGUCUGGUGUGAAAUCUCCCGGCUCAACUGGGAGGGUGCGCCGGAAACUGGAGUGCUCGAGUAUGGGAGAGGUAAGCGGAAUUCCUGGUGUAGCGGUGAAAUGCGUAGAUAUCAGGAGGAACACCUGUGGUGUAGACAGCUUACUGGACCAUGACUGACGCUGAGGUACGAAAGCGUGGGUAGCAAACAGGAUUAGAUACCCUGGUAGUCCACGCCCUAAACGAUGCAUACUUGGUGUGAGCGAUUCAUUUCGUUCGUGCCGGAGCUAACGCGUUAAGUAUG